This 320-nucleotide long non-coding RNA is filed under the name Chinchilla lanigera (long-tailed chinchilla). Its description in RNAcentral is "lncRNA (ENSCLAG00000025699.1)". The record is from RNAcentral. Lineage: Eukaryota; Metazoa; Chordata; Mammalia; Rodentia; Chinchillidae.
CUGGCUGCAACAUUCUAAAACAGAAUGAGGAGAAAGAGUUUGGGUUCCUGAUUCAGGAUACAACCUUCUACUUCUUCCCUGAUGCUUAUCCUGCACUUCGUCCCUUCCUUCUGAAAUGUGCUCUUUUUUAGAAAUCUUCCGCAAAUUACUUUCCAGACAGAGAAUUCCUAUUUUAGACAACCCUACUUGCUCAAGUUGAUCCAAAGUAUUUCAAGGAAUAAGAUCAUCAACCAUGUGCCCACCAAUUUUAUUUUAAGGUACAAACAGUCAAAUGUUUUAUGAGUCAUAUAUCUGAACACUGAGCUGCUGUGUAUAGAUUU